Picea glauca (white spruce) is the source of this 83-nucleotide non-coding RNA. The record is from Rfam. Lineage: Eukaryota; Viridiplantae; Streptophyta; Pinopsida; Pinales; Pinaceae.
CUGACAGAAGAGAGUGAGCACACAUAGCAGGAGCUCAUGAGACUAUGAGUUCAGCCAUGCGUGCUCACGUCUCUUUCUGUCAG